Molecule: RNA transcript, 1586 nt
Organism: Daphnia magna
Lineage: Eukaryota; Metazoa; Arthropoda; Branchiopoda; Diplostraca; Daphniidae
Exons: 3
Source: RefSeq, a predicted model, not a curated record
UGGGUUGGGUUCUUCCUCUUCUUCGCUUUGAUCGGUCGUCACGCAUAUGAUGCAUAUCUUUGCCUCCUUGACCGAGACAUCCGUCAAACUGUCUUCGGAUCUAUUACCUAACGGAGAGGAAUAAAGAAAACAAAAAUAGCAGUUACAGGAUAUUGUUCUUACCUUCAAUGGAAUUGGAUAAAACAGACGAGAAACAAAAAAUGACGAGACCCAAAAAAAGUAACCUCAUGUUUGAAUCUGACGACAAGCAAGGUUUGCAGCUUAACGUGUACGUCUUUACCACGUCUUGACGAUAAAUUCUCUGUGCAGACUUGUAACCGGCUCCCAUAUAUAUACACCGCAACGAUUCUAAUAGGACAAAUAGUCAGUUACGAAUCGCUGAUACCAUGAACUGCGUCGUACACCAGCAGACAUGUCAAAGAAGCCGACUGGGUUUUUCCAAACAAGACAUUUGGUGAAGUUUACGCCAUGGCUGCAGUUCUGUUAAAUUUCGGUCUAAAUAAACAGGGCUCUCCUAUUUCAGUUAGAGUGUGGGAGGUCUCUAGGCGAGAAAUUGAUAAUCUCUUUUUCUCAGAUUACAGAUGUCAACCACUCAUAUACCUAAUGCCUUCAGGCCAUUCAAAGAUGUUACUUUUUCCUGCAUUGGUGGCUUUUUGUAUCUUGAUAUUUUUUCAUGGUGGCCUCAGCAAUUAAAUGCAAACUUCAGUAGAUCACUUUACAACUUGUUGAUCUACCCAGCAGCGACUUGAACCUUAAGGAUUUGCUUUGCUUGAAAAUCUAGCAGAACAAGAGGUCAUUUUAUUCCAUCGCCGCAAAGGAGUCGAUUCAAAUAAAAACAAACUUCGGGUAUGAGCUUAUCGGUUUUAUCGCGGGUUCAACUGACACUCGAUAACGAAAAAAAAAAAUGUGUUCAGUGCUUGAGUUUCUAGUACGCCCAAUUUAAUGUUUGGUGCAUCGUCUAGGGUUUUUACUCGCUUCGUUGGUCGUUUUGCAAACAACGUAACGAAUCGCAAACAAAGCAUUAUUGUGCACCCCAGGAGCCAUAACUUUUCUUGUGAGUCGAGAAUUUACACAGUGUGGUUUUAGUGCUGGGCAAAAAACUAUACAUUGCCAUGAUCAUUACCGAAAACUACAAUUUUAUUUCCGUAACAUGAGUUUCUUACGAUCGCAAGUUUCUUUUCAGUAUUUAGCUUCUUCCAACAUUGUUUCUUGUGGAUUCCGAUCGUGAAAUCCUGGAUCACUAUAUUUAAACGCCCUUAGUUCGGCAUGAAAACAAUUCCCUUUCAAAAUUCCCGCCAAUUAUGUCGUCAAGGUGUCCGUCACCUAGCGGUCGUUAGGAACAUUACGAAAAGAGUAUCAGGAAUUCAGGACAUCACAAAACAAACAUUUCACAUGGAGAAAAUCCGACCCUCUCUGUCUUUGGUUUCAGCUGAGUUUGAAAUAUUUGGAAAGGUCCAGGGUGUUUUCUUCCGCAAAUAUACUCGUGAUCAAGGUAACAAAUUGGGACUGAAAGGAUGGUGUCGAAACACGGAAGCCGGUACGGUUGAAGGAGUCAUGGAGGGAACUCAGGAUCAAGUGAACAUGAU